AUUUAUAUAGUAUAAAAAUUAUAUUUAACUUCCAAUUAAAAGAUCUAUCAAUAGUAUAAAUA
RNAcentral lists this transfer RNA (62 nucleotides) under Phloiophilus edwardsi. RNAcentral's name for it is "tRNA-Gly". Lineage: Eukaryota; Metazoa; Arthropoda; Insecta; Coleoptera; Phloiophilidae. The record is from RNAcentral.